Scophthalmus maximus (turbot) is the source of this 1282-nucleotide long non-coding RNA. RefSeq lists it as uncharacterized. The record is from RefSeq and is a predicted model, not a curated record. The transcript is spliced from 2 exons. Lineage: Eukaryota; Metazoa; Chordata; Actinopteri; Pleuronectiformes; Scophthalmidae.
CACCAUCUCUCCCCCUCUCAUCCAUUCUUUGCCUCUCAUUCAAACAUCCCUCUUCAAUGGAUGACAAACAUGUGGGAACGCGGAAAACGUCUGAACUCGAGCAGAGGCAACUUUUCAUGCAGUUUUUUGACAGGAUAGUUUAGACUGGGAACUGAGAGUUGUCUUUAAAGGGCGACGUGAACUUGGAUAGAAGUCCUGGUUUAUCAUCAAAGGCCGUCACGCAGAUGAACAAUUGGAAAAGCCCUGACAGCUCAACUUUAAUGUCUUCAAUAUUCAAUAUUUUGCACAGAGCAUGGGGAUCAAUACACUGGCAAAAAUGCAGUAUGUUUCUAAUACUGGUGUCACUGCAGUAACACAAAUAAUGUAAAUAAUAUUCUUUAAAAUUCAAGUUUAACCUUUAUACUCAGAUAAAUGAGUGAUAGUUUCCAUGGUUUUGUGUGCAGCUCUGUUAAGUUUCCCUCUCAAAGUACCUGUAAGUGUGUGUAAAUGAAUCCCCUCCCUGUGUGAAUCACCGUUGGCACAUGCAGUCAUAUUCCAUCGCUCUCAGCCAUGUACCUGAACAACAGUUGAGAGGAUAAACAUCAGGCUUUUGUUUUGUUUGGAGUUUUCAGACAUUAUUUCAAACAGCUUGAAACCAUGAUAAAAAAAACAACCUUGUAACAAUAAGGCUUUUGACUUUUCUCCCUUCGCCUUCUUGAUUGCCUUUUAACAGCUGCCUGGUUUUGGAGCAACUACAGUCGGAAGAAAAGAAGAAAAAAAAAAAAGGCCUCCAGAAAGAGCAAUUAUGGUUUUAUUUACAAUGCCCCGUUCCUACAACUUUCCGUUUCUCCAUCUGUCUUUUUUUCUCUCUGCACUUUGUGAUCAUCGAUCAGAUUAGAGGAGAGCUUGCCCGCGUGAUUCAUCUCGCAAAAAACCUUCAUUGACUAAAGGAACAGCCUGCAGAAUCCACCUUUGAAGUGGUGAGAGUGAAAAAGCUGUUGCCCAACAACAAACAAAGGGCACAUUGUCUGAACCCGGCAGCUGACAUGCAAAGCAGUGGAGCAUUCACAGAAUGCAAAACAUGCUCACGCGAACAAUGGAGCCACUGAUCUGCUCAUGUAAACUGUGCAUACGACGGAUACAUUUCAGUACUGAAUCAUCUCGCAACUAUUUUGUCUGCAGGUCAAAUUGGUGACAAAAAAUGCCCAAACACAUGCUGCGGACAUUUUAAGCAUGUAUUCAUUUCAAUACCAGGUUGGGACCUAUCUCAUAAUGGAACAAUAAAGAGUUUACUGGAAAUAUA